CCUGCAGGUGAGCCAGUGUCCCAUAGGACUCACUCCCCUUGGCUUUUCCCCAUUCGGUAAGCAGGUAAGAAGCUCAGGCCUGCAGGUGAGCCAGUGUCCCAUAAUCCCCUUGGCUUUUCCCCAUUCGGUAAGCAGGUAAGAAGCUCAGGCCUGCAGGUGAGCCAGUGUCCCAUAAUCCCCUUGGCUUUUCCCCAUUCGGUAAGCAGGUAAGAAGCUCAGGCCUGCAGGUGAGUGAAGGAGCUGCUAGACCUCCUCCGUCCAGCUGGGGGAAACGUUUUAGCUACUUUUCAGUCUUUUUCUUGUCAUGUAAAUGUAGUUUUCUUACUGUU
This is a long non-coding RNA of Anguilla anguilla (European eel), 329 nucleotides long. RefSeq lists it as uncharacterized. The transcript is spliced from 4 exons. Lineage: Eukaryota; Metazoa; Chordata; Actinopteri; Anguilliformes; Anguillidae. The record is from RefSeq and is a predicted model, not a curated record.